GACGAACGCUGGCGGCGUGCUUAACACAUGCAAGUCGAACGGAAAGGCCCUGCUUUUGUGGGGUGCUCGAGUGGCGAACGGGUGAGUAACACGUGAGUAACCUGCCCUUGACUUUGGGAUAACUUCAGGAAACUGGGGCUAAUACCGGAUAGGAGCUCCUGCUGCAUGGUGGGGGUUGGAAAGUUUCGGCGGUUGGGGAUGGACUCGCGGCUUAUCAGCUUGUUGGGGGGGUAGUGGCUUACCAAGGCUUUGACGGGUAGCCGGCCUGAGAGGGUGACCGGCAAAAUGGGGAAGGAGAAACGGCCCAAAACCCUAGGGGAGGCAGGAGGGGGGAAAAUGAAAAAAGGGGGGGAAGCCUGAGGCAGAAACGCCGGGGGGGGGAAGAGGGCCUUGGGGUUGAAAACCGUUUUCGCCUGGGAAGAAGCGGGGGGGAGGGAAAUGGGAAAAGAAGCACCGGCUAAAUACGG
RNAcentral lists this ribosomal RNA (467 nucleotides) under uncultured bacterium. RNAcentral describes it as "partial 16S ribosomal RNA". It matches the Rfam family "Bacterial small subunit ribosomal RNA", at positions 28 to 506 of the family's 1533-position model. The record is from RNAcentral.